Molecule: long non-coding RNA, 550 nt
Organism: Coccinella septempunctata (seven-spotted ladybird)
Lineage: Eukaryota; Metazoa; Arthropoda; Insecta; Coleoptera; Coccinellidae
Exons: 2
Source: RefSeq, a predicted model, not a curated record
UUCGUUCAAACCAAAAAUUGCUGUCGAAUACUGAUGUCUUUUCAACCCGAGAUUGCGAAAACAUUUCUCACCAAUAAAGUUUGAUUGACUUCCUGAGUCGAUAAGAAUUCGCACUUGUUGAAAUGCUCCAUACCUAUCACGUAUAUCUACCGCUGCAGUAGCUAACAAAACAGUACUACAGUUCGAAUACGUAUUACCCGAUAGAGUGGAAGAAAUUGAAUUGUUCUCUAUGCUGGAAGUCGAAGAGUUAUUAUUUUCAACUUUUGGUUUCGAUAAUUCUGGGUUAUUCUUUGAAACGUGUAUCAACGAAUGAUGACGACUGUUACAUGUACGACAUUUGAAUGAAGAAGUGCAAUUUUGAAGGCUAUGAGAAUGAUGUUCGUCUUUUAAAAAAGAUAGAAGAUAUCUAAACUUCUCAACAUUAGAAAGAUUGGAAUUUUCAUGAAUCAAUUUCUCGAAGAGAUCAUGAAAGGUUGACCAAGUUUUCGGAUCUCCGGCAAAGCAAGGUAUAUUAAGUGGUGGAAGUUUUGCAGUAGCCUCAACACUGAGU